Molecule: transfer RNA, 72 nt
Filed under: Marmota marmota marmota (Alpine marmot)
Lineage: Eukaryota; Metazoa; Chordata; Mammalia; Rodentia; Sciuridae
Also listed under: 1 other name
Rfam family: tRNA
About the family: Transfer RNA (tRNA) molecules are approximately 80 nucleotides in length.
Source: Rfam by way of RNAcentral
GGGGUUGUAGUUCAGCGUUAGAACACUUGCCUAGCAUGCAAGAGGCACUGGGUUCAAUCCCCAGCCACAUUA